RNAcentral lists this ribosomal RNA (591 nucleotides) under Lipomyces kononenkoae. RNAcentral describes it as "eukaryotic LSU rRNA". It matches the Rfam family "Eukaryotic large subunit ribosomal RNA", at positions 38 to 648 of the family's 3401-position model. Lineage: Eukaryota; Fungi; Ascomycota; Lipomycetes; Lipomycetales; Lipomycetaceae. The record is from RNAcentral.
GCAUAUCAAUAAGCGGAGGAAAAGAAACCAACAGGGAUUGCCUUAGUAACUGCGAGUGAAGCGGCAAGAGCUCAAAUUUGAAAUCUGGCACCUUCGGUGUCCGAGUUGUAAUUUGUAGAAGCAUCUUUUGGAUUGGUCCUUGCAUAUGUUCCUUGGAACAGGACAUCAUAGAGGGUGAGAAUCCCGUUCAUGGUGGGGAAUCCAAUUCUUUGUAAAGUGCUUUCGAAGAGUCGAGUUGUUUGGGAAUGCAGCUCUAAGUGGGUGGUAAAUUCCAUCUAAAGCUAAAUAUUGGCGAGAGACCGAUAGCGAACAAGUACAGUGAUGGAAAGAUGAAAAGAACUCCGAAAGGAGAGUGAAAAAGGACGUGAAAUUGUUGAAAGGGAAGUGCUUGAGAUCAGUCUUAAGGUUUAGUGAUCAGUCUUCCUUUUGGUUGGUGCACUCACUAUUUCUUAGGCCAACAUCAGUUUUGGCGGCAGGAUAAUGACAUUGGAAUGUGGCUCUUUCGGGAGUGUUAUAGCCUUUGUUGAUACUGCCUGCUUGGACUGAGGACCGCGCUUUUGCUAGGAUGUUGGCAUAAUGAUCUUAAGCAGC